AAGGCCUCACUGGGGAUGAAUGAGUCAUGCAGUGAGGAGACAGAGCCUGUCCAGGCAAGGCAGUGGUGUGGGUGUGUGGCCCGUGUCUUCGGCAGGAUUUCCUUUAUUUCAGAAGAACUUUGCUGCACUGGUUGUCGAUACUUCCCCUUCUCUUCAGAAAGCUCCUCAGCUGUCAUUCUUAUUUGCUCAGCCAGAAGUUGCUGAAGUUCCUCUGUAGACAAUUCCCCUGAAUGUUCUUCUACCAGUUCCUCAGCAUCACACUGUCUACCUGCAAGCCUGUGAACUCUGCUACAGUGACAGUGUUACUAAACACAGGGUAAGUUGAAGGCUCAGGCUCCUCUGCACAGCUGUCAAAGUCUCUCCUCUAUAUAAUUUUAG
Molecule: long non-coding RNA, 378 nt
Filed under: Chinchilla lanigera (long-tailed chinchilla)
Lineage: Eukaryota; Metazoa; Chordata; Mammalia; Rodentia; Chinchillidae
Description: lncRNA (ENSCLAG00000026725.1)
Source: RNAcentral